Molecule: ribosomal RNA, 1177 nt
Filed under: Enterobacter bugandensis
Lineage: Bacteria; Pseudomonadati; Pseudomonadota; Gammaproteobacteria; Enterobacterales; Enterobacteriaceae
Description: partial 23S ribosomal RNA
Rfam family: Bacterial large subunit ribosomal RNA
Source: RNAcentral
GGGUUGUGAGGUUAAGCGACUAAGCGUACACGGUGGAUGCCCUGGCAGUCAGAGGCGAUGAAGGACGUGCUAAUCUGCGAAAAGCGACGGCGAGGUGAUAUGAACCUUUGACCCGUCGAUGUCCGAAUGGGGAAACCCAGUGCAAUUCGUUGCACUAUCGUUAACUGAAUACAUAGGUUAACGAGGCGAACCGGGGGAACUGAAACAUCUAAGUACCCCGAGGAAAAGAAAUCAACCGAGAUUCCCCCAGUAGCGGCGAGCGAACGGGGAGCAGCCCGGAGUCUGAAUCAGCUUGUGUGUUAGUGGAAGCGUCUGGAAAGUCGCACGGUACAGGGUGACAGUCCCGUACACGAAAAUGCACAGGUUGUGAACUCGAAGAGUAGGGCGGGACACGUGGUAUCCUGUCUGAAUAUGGGGGGACCAUCCUCCAAGGCUAAAUACUCCUGACUGACCGAUAGUGAACCAGUACCGUGAGGGAAAGGCGAAAAGAACCCCGGCGAGGGGAGUGAAAAAGAACCUGAAACCGUGUACGUACAAGCAGUGGGAGCACCUUCGUGGUGUGACUGCGUACCUUUUGUAUAAUGGGUCAGCGACUUAUAUUCUGUAGCAAGGUUAACCGUAUAGGGGAGCCGCAGGGAAACCGAGUCUUAACUGGGCGUUAAGUUGCAGGGUAUAGACCCGAAACCCGGUGAUCUAGCCAUGGGCAGGUUGAAGGUUGGGUAACACUAACUGGAGGACCGAACCGACUAAUGUUGAAAAAUUAGCGGAUGACCUGUGGCUGGGGGUGAAAGGCCAAUCAAACCGGGAGAUAGCUGGUUCUCCCCGAAAGCUAUUUAGGUAGCGCCUCGUGAACUCAUCUUCGGGGGUAGAGCACUGUUUCGGCUAGGGGGCCAUCCCGGCUUACCAACCCGAUGCAAACUACGAAUACCGAAGAAUGUUAUCACGGGAGACACACGGCGGGUGCUAACGUCCGUCGUGAAGAGGGAAACAACCCAGACCGCCAGCUAAGGUCCCAAAGUCAUGGUUAAGUGGGAAACGAUGUGGGAAGGCACAGACAGCCAGGAUGUUGGCUUAGAAGCAGCCAUCAUUUAAAGAAAGCGUAAUAGCUCACUGGUCGAGUCGGCCUGCGCGGAAGAUGUAACGGGGCUAAACCAUGCACCGAAGCUGCGGCAGCGAC